Molecule: long non-coding RNA, 819 nt
Filed under: Oryctolagus cuniculus (rabbit)
Lineage: Eukaryota; Metazoa; Chordata; Mammalia; Lagomorpha; Leporidae
Description: lncRNA (ENSOCUG00000032522.1)
Source: RNAcentral
GGAAAUCACCUGGCACUUGAACAGGGCAUCCUGCCCAAGGACGUGGACUGGGAGCACAGGUUCCUGCUCACUGUAUGGAUGUUACAGAGACCGGGACACCGAAACCAACGUGGUCCAGGACACUAUGGUCUCUACAAAUGGCAGGCCUAACUCACUCUUGCACUCAGCCAGCAGACACGAUUGCUUCAAGCAUUUGGUCAUGAGUUGGGGAAACUUCCUUGAACAAUAGAGAAGCACUGCGAUGCUUGGCCAGUGUUAUUCUGGGACAUCAUUGCUUCCAUUACUGAGCUUCUGAAUGGUGGUUAUGUCCCUCUUCCUAGAGCCUUCUCCAUGGUAUUGGUAAGUAAAGUGAUGCCAUGACCCUGACAAGGGACACAGGUGGGCUUUUCAAUCUGAUAAACUAGACAUCACUCUGGCAUAACCACAUUCUCGAGUUUUUUGUUCUCUUCCCCUACAACCUACACUGCCAGUACUGGUAUGUCUAAUUUAUUUAAUGUUGACCUUUGCAUUUUGAAGAUUCAGGUUUAUUGAGGUAUAAUUUACAUGUACUAAAAUAUGCCUAUUUAAGGUAUUUAUUUCUAUAAAUUUUGACAGUUAUAGUUGUGUAAUCACCAACACAAUCAGAUGUAGAACACUGUCAUCACUUCCAAAAAGUUCCAUUAAUUCGUAGAUUGCAUAGAAUUUAUAUCAUAGAUUGUAACUGAAUUUUAAUUUAUACAUUUAAAGUUCUUUUUAAAAAUUUUUGGUAGUUUUGACAGGAGGAAAAAGGUUGCUGGAUUUCAUUUGUUAAAUAAAUCUUUUAUUUGUAUAAGAAACCCA